This 76-nucleotide transfer RNA is filed under the name Candidatus Poribacteria bacterium. RNAcentral describes it as "tRNA-Trp". It matches the Rfam family "tRNA". From Rfam's summary of the family: Transfer RNA (tRNA) molecules are approximately 80 nucleotides in length. The record is from RNAcentral. Lineage: Bacteria; Candidatus Poribacteria.
ACGCCUAUAGCUCAACUGGUAGAGCGACGGUCUCCAAAACCGUAGGUUGGGGGUUCAAGUCCCUCUGGGCGUGCCA